RNAcentral lists this ribosomal RNA (94 nucleotides) under Vibrio cholerae. Lineage: Bacteria; Pseudomonadati; Pseudomonadota; Gammaproteobacteria; Vibrionales; Vibrionaceae. The record is from RNAcentral.
CUUGGCGACCAUAGCGUUUUGGACCCACCUGACUCCAUCCCGAACUCAGAAGUGAAACGAAACAGCGUCGAUGGUAGUGUGGGGUCUCCCCAUG